RNAcentral lists this ribosomal RNA (114 nucleotides) under Lepisosteus oculatus (spotted gar). Lineage: Eukaryota; Metazoa; Chordata; Actinopteri; Semionotiformes; Lepisosteidae. The record is from RNAcentral.
UCCAGCCAUAUCGCCCUGCAAUUCACAACUGGCAACCCCCUGAAGCUCAGCAGGUGUGAGUCUGGUCAGUACCUGGAUGGGAGACCUCCUGGGAAAAACUAAGUGCUGCUGGAA